GGGGACGUAGCUCAGCUGGUUAGAGCGCCGGCCUGUCACGCUGGAGGUCACGGGUUCGAGUCCCGCCGUCCCCGCCA
RNAcentral lists this transfer RNA (77 nucleotides) under bacterium. RNAcentral describes it as "tRNA-Asp". It matches the Rfam family "tRNA". From Rfam's summary of the family: Transfer RNA (tRNA) molecules are approximately 80 nucleotides in length. Their secondary structure includes four short double-helical elements and three loops (D, anti-codon, and T loops). The record is from RNAcentral. RNAcentral also lists the same sequence under 1 other name.